Molecule: ribosomal RNA, 497 nt
Filed under: uncultured bacterium
Lineage: Bacteria
Description: partial 16S ribosomal RNA
Rfam family: Bacterial small subunit ribosomal RNA
Source: RNAcentral
GAUGAACGCUGGCGGCGUGCCUAAUACAUGCAAGUCGAGCGAACAGACGAGGAGCUUGCUCCUCUGACGUUAGCGGCGGACGGGUGAGUAACACGUGGAUAACCUACCUAUAAGACUGGGAUAACUUCGGGAAACCGGAUCUAAUACCGGAUAAUAUAUUGAACCGCAUGGUUCAAUAGUGAAAGACGGUUUUGCUGUCACUUAUCGAUGGAUCCACACCGCAUUAGCUAGUUGGUAAGGUAACGGCUUACCAACGCAACGAUGCGUAGCCGACCUGAGAGGGUGAUCGGCCAGACUGGAACAGAGACACGGUCCAGACUCCUACGGGAGGCAGCAGUAGGGACUCUUACGCAAUGGGCGAGAGCUUGACGGAGCAACGCCGCGUGAGUGAUGAAGGUCUUCGGAUCGUAAAACUCUGUUAGUAGGAAAGAACAAAUGUGUAAGUAACUAUGCACGUCUUGACGGUACCUAAACAGAAAGCCACGGCUAACUACGUG